CUAGCCCGGGCACACAGCCGCCUAGCUAUGGGGCAGAGGGAGCUGGCGUCUGCUGAGCUCUUCCUCCGCACACACGUGCGGGCAGUUUUGCAGCAGGGAGUUCCAGCCCCAGCUCCGCACUGCAGGAGUAUUUACAAACGAUGCUCCAUUAAUAAAGGGCCCAAUCGUUAGGCCCUCGACCUCCACGGAGUUCAAUGGAAGUUGAGGAGGCUCACCAUUGCCCAGGGGCAGUUUCAAUGGCAAUGAUCUCAGGAGGGGAAAGACCCAUACAGAUAGCAGAAGAAACUGACUAUCUUGAUUCUGCAAUAAGAGCCUCAAGAGCAGACCCCAGCACCUGCAUGUGGCUCCACUGAAGCCAAUGACGCUCCAUGCAGACCAAGAGGCACCUGUGUGAACUUGUUUGUGGGAUCGGGAGUCUAACUGACUAGAUGAGGGAAAUUGAUUAUCCAUAGAAUGCUGUCAAACUAACAAAAUAAACACACUGGAAAAAAUA
Molecule: long non-coding RNA, 493 nt
Organism: Chelonia mydas (Green sea turtle)
Lineage: Eukaryota; Metazoa; Chordata; Testudines; Cheloniidae
Exons: 3
Source: RefSeq, a predicted model, not a curated record